GACGAACGCUGGCGGCGUGCUUAACACAUGCAAGUCGAACGGAAAGGCCCUGCUUUUGUGGGGUGCUCGAGUGGCGAACGGGUGAGUAACACGUGAGUAACCUGCCCUUGACUUUGGGAUAACUUCAGGAAACUGGGGCUAAUACCGGAUAGGAGCUCCUGCUGCAUGGUGGGGGUUGGAAAGUUUCGGCGGUUGGGGAUGGACUCGCGGCUUAUCAGCUUGUUGGUGGGGUAGUGGCUUACCAAGGCUUUGACGGGUAGCCGGCCUGAGAGGGUGACCGGCCACAUUGGGACUGAGAUACGGCCCAGACUCCUACGGGAGGCAGCAGUGGGGCAUAUUGCACAAUGGGCGGAAGCCUGAUGCAGCAACGCCGCGUGCGGGAUGACGGCCUUCGGGUUGUAACCCGCUUUCGCCUGUGACGAAGCGUGAGUGACGGUAAUGGGUAAAGAAGCACCGGCUAACUACGUG
Molecule: ribosomal RNA, 468 nt
Filed under: uncultured bacterium
Lineage: Bacteria
Description: partial 16S ribosomal RNA
Rfam family: Bacterial small subunit ribosomal RNA
Source: RNAcentral